AUGAGUGUCACUUUAGAGGCAGCUACUUUGUCUGUACAUUUCUGCAAUGAAAUCACAUUUCUUUUCCCACAGCACAGACCGGGCACAGUUUCUGUGGGAUUUGGGAGCUGCAGGGGGAAGAAUGGAUCACAUGGGAGCCUCACCGAGCGGGGAGGAGCGUGCGGUGCGGAAUCAGGUCACCGCCAGAGAGCCGAGCCAGCCACGGCCACCGGCGCUCAGAGCCGAGACAAAGGCAGGGAGCAGCCGGGAAUUCGGCUGCUUUCCCCCCUUCCCUGCCCGUUGAACACGGAAAUUUCGCGCUCCUUUCAUCAGGUGAGCUUUCCUAAUCAAGUAGGAAAUGGCAAUGUGAAAGGGAUGUGUUCAGCUCCCGAGCGCUUUCGAGCACAUCCAUCCUGUCGAGCGUUUCUCAGCCUUUUCUUUGCCCGUUUCUGGCUCUGUUUCUUUGCCCGUUUCUGAGCACAUCCAUCCUCUCAAGCGUUUCUCGGCCUUUUCUUUGCCCGUUUCUGGUUGCAUGGAUCCAGCCCCAGAGAAAUGGAUGCUGGACCCAUUCCCGAGCACCACAUCCAACAGCCCAGGUGGAAUAUCCACCUCUGUCUCAAAUCUGCAUCUCUCUGUCUUUAAUUUGCAUCUCCUGCUCAGACAAAAGGCUGGAGCUGCUGCUGAUCCCUGCUGCCCCACGGGCUGAGGAAUCCUUGGGCUCCUCCAGCCCCAUUCCUGCUCUUUCUCACUCAUUAAUGGCCAGCAAAGCCCCCAGGCAGGGGUAACACCAAAUCUGAGCCCUGUGUGACUUUUAAUACCAUUGUUUAUUCCAUCAGCACACAUUCCCAAAGAGCUGCCAUGGGUUUGGGUUAUUCGGAGGCCAGAAUUCAAGUGUGGAUCCCUAAAUACACACGGAUCUUGUGAAGGAGUGGGCCUGACUUUUAUAGGUGCUAAGCAACUGUUCUGGUGCAUUUCCAUCUGCCUCGAAGUCACAUCCCACCCUCUCCACCUUCCUCAUGUCCACACUCUGAGACAGAAAUGAGCUGUGCAGAGUAGGCUGGCUCCUUCCUCUGCUGCCAGCAGCUUUCUGCCCAAAGGAAACUCCAUCCUGCCCCACAGAAAAUCCAUCCUGGAGCAGGACACCCGAGGGAGGGAGUUGGGAACCAGGGGAAUUGCCCCUGAUGUGUCCUGGGAGGGUGAAAACCCAGGGGAGGGCGAAUGCUGCAGCCAAAAAUGGCUUGAGCAGCCAUGGAACAAGUGGCAGCUGCCUACAGAGGGACUUCCCUUCCUCCUUUCAGCUUGCAGAAAAUGAUCCAGCCUUGGCACUUAGAGGCUGGAACAGUCAAAAUGUUGAUUCUUGGCAACUUCUUAAUGAAGCCUCUGGAUUAGAGAGGAUGUAAAUGAGGAUGUCACACCAGGAAAACAAUCCUCACAUCAGAGAGCACCAAAGGCAAAGCUGAGUCCCUCGGUGGGCACU
RNAcentral lists this long non-coding RNA (1456 nucleotides) under Zonotrichia albicollis (white-throated sparrow). RNAcentral's name for it is "lncRNA (ENSZALG00000009130.1)". Lineage: Eukaryota; Metazoa; Chordata; Aves; Passeriformes; Passerellidae. The record is from RNAcentral.